Molecule: transfer RNA, 71 nt
Filed under: Desulfotomaculum sp.
Lineage: Bacteria; Bacillati; Bacillota; Clostridia; Eubacteriales; Desulfotomaculaceae
Description: tRNA-Glu
Rfam family: tRNA
About the family: Transfer RNA (tRNA) molecules are approximately 80 nucleotides in length. Their secondary structure includes four short double-helical elements and three loops (D, anti-codon, and T loops).
Source: RNAcentral
GGCCCUAUCGUCUAGCGGUUGAGGACACCACCCUCUCAAGGUGGANNGUUCGAGUCCCGUUAGGGCUACCA